This 451-nucleotide ribosomal RNA is filed under the name uncultured bacterium. Its description in RNAcentral is "partial 16S ribosomal RNA". It matches the Rfam family "Bacterial small subunit ribosomal RNA", at positions 29 to 523 of the family's 1533-position model. The record is from RNAcentral.
AACGAACGCCGGCGGCAGGCUUAACACAUGCAAGUCGAACGGAUGUAGCAAUACAUCAGUGGCAGACGGGUGAGUAACACGUGGGAACCUUCCUCGUUGUACGGAACAACUCAGGGAAACUUGAGCUAAUACCGUAUACGUCCGAGAGGAGAAAGAUUUAUCGCAAUGAGACGGGCCCGCGUCGGAUUAGCUAGUUGGUGGGGUAACGGCCUACCAAGGCGACGAUCCGUAGCUGAUCUGAGAGGAUGAUCAGCCACACUGGGACUGAGACACGGCCCAGACUCCUACGGGAGGCAGCAGUGGGGAAUCUUGGACAAUGGGCGCAAGCCUGAUCCAGCCAUGCCGCGUGUGUGAUGAAGGCCUUAGGGUUGUAAAGCACUUUCGUUGGGGAUGAUAAUGACCGUACCCAAAGAAGAAGCCACGGCUAAAUUCGUGCCAGCAGCCGCGGUAA